Molecule: ribosomal RNA, 1254 nt
Filed under: metagenome
Description: bacterial LSU rRNA
Rfam family: Bacterial large subunit ribosomal RNA
Source: RNAcentral
CCAUACGACCGUACCGCAAACCGACACUGGUGCGCGAGAUGAGUAUUCUAAGGCGCUUGAGAGAACUCAGGAGAAGGAACUCGGCAAAUUGACACCGUAACUUCGGAAGAAGGUGUGCCUUAUUAGUGUGAAGUGAACAACGGAGCAUGAAUGGGUUGCAAAAAAUCGGUGGCUGCGACUGUUUAUUAAAAACACAGCACUCUGCAAACACGAAAGUGGACGUAUAGGGUGUGACGCCUGCCCGGUGCUGGAAGAUUAAAUGAUGGGGUGCAAGCUCUUGAUUGAAGUCCCAGUAAACGGCGGCCGUAACGAUAACGGUCCUAAGGUAGCGAAAUUCCUUGUCGGGUAAGUUCCGACCUGCACGAAUGGCGUAACGAUGGCCACACUGUCUCCUCCUGAGACUCAGCGAAGUUGAAAUGUUUGUGAUGAUGCAAUCUCCCCGCGGAAAGACGGAAAGACCCCAUGAACCUUUACUGUAGCUUUGUAUUGGACUUUGAACAGAUCUGUGUAGGAUAGGUGGGAGGCUUUGAAGCAGGGUCGCUAGAUCUUGUGGAGCCAACGUUGAAAUACCACCCUGGUGUGUUUGAGGUUCUAACCUAGGUCCAUUAUCUGGAUCGGGGACAGUGCAUGGUAGGCAGUUUGACUGGGGCGGUCUCCUCCCAAAGCGUAACGGAGGAGUUCGAAGGUACGCUAGUUACGGUCGGACAUCGUGACGAUAGUGCAAUGGCAUAAGCGUGCUUAACUGCGAGACUGACAAGUCGAGCAGAUGCGAAAGCAGGACAUAGUGAUCCGGUGGUUCUGUAUGGAAGGGCCAUCGCUCAACGGAUAAAAGGUACUCUGGGGAUAACAGGCUGAUACCGCCCAAGAGUCCAUAUCGACGGCGGUGUUUGGCACCUCGAUGUCGGCUCAUCUCAUCCUGGGGCUGUAGCCGGUCCCAAGGGUAUGGCUGUUCGCCAUUUAAAGAGGUACGUGAGCUGGGUUUAAAACGUCGUGAGACAGUUUGGUCCCUAUCUUCCGUGGGCGCUGCAGAUUUGAGGAAGCCUGCUCCUAGUACGAGAGGACCGGAGUGGACACACCUCUGGUGUAUCGGUUGUCACGCCAGUGGCAUUGCCGAGUAGCUAAGUGUGGAAGAGAUAACCGCUGAAAGCAUCUAAGCGGGAAACUCGUUUCAAGAUGAGAUCUGCCGGGGCCUUGAGCCCCCUGAAGAGUCGUUCAAGACCAGGACGUUGAUAGGUCAGGUGUGGAAGCCAAAAG